Phascolarctos cinereus (koala) is the source of this 479-nucleotide non-coding RNA. The record is from RefSeq and is a predicted model, not a curated record. NCBI's taxonomy places the organism in Eukaryota, Metazoa, Chordata, Mammalia, Diprotodontia, Phascolarctidae.
GUGCUCCCCUUUCAGUAUAUUUCUUAUGAAUACAGAGAUGCUCAGGCAGCAUUCUGUACCCAAAGGAGUUUGGGGCUAAAUUCUAAAUGUGUUUUUGAAAGGUUUCUCAUGAAGCAAUGAUAUUUCUUUUUUGGAAGUUCAAAGGAUUACCGAGUUUGAACUGAAGGGUGCUAACAGGUGGUCUCGUCCAAUGAGCCAAUUUUACAGGGGAAGGAGCUCAGGUUUGGCCAAGAACCCUGUGAGUCCCAGAUGAGAAUGCCCCGGGAAUCCUGCGAGGCGGCAGCUGCACUGUCCCCUGGAGCGAGGUGGUCAGCCAUGGAAAGGAAGGCAAGCGUGGCUGUUGGAUGAGACACGCCCAACACAGGAAAUUAUUAAUGAGCAGUUCUGCAAAACCGCUUUAUCCUCAGGAGGCAACACUGAAAAUUAAUAGAAAAUCAGCCAAGAUGAAGGGACAUCACUUUUGUUCAUCUAGUGGAAGC